Molecule: long non-coding RNA, 387 nt
Organism: Stegodyphus dumicola
Lineage: Eukaryota; Metazoa; Arthropoda; Arachnida; Araneae; Eresidae
Source: RefSeq, a predicted model, not a curated record
UUCUGUGUUCCAUCAUUGGAGUUGCUUCAUAUUGCCAGAGAAGUAUUACACAGGGAAUAAAAAUUAAAUGAUAGUUUACGAAAAUGGAGGUAACUCCACAUUGCUUUUAGAUGGAAGCCAAACUUUCCCACGAAAUCGGAUGAUCGAAUAUACAAAAUGCAAAAAUUCGUCUACAAUUGCAAAACGUCUCAGAGAAAUACUUUCAAACCUGAGAAGUGGAGAAGAAACAGGCCGAAUUUUAUAAAAUCCAAAUAAAAGAAUAUGGAUGACACUAAAGGUGUUCUUGGUAAUACAUCUACUGUAAGAUAGAUGAAGGUAAAAAUUUUAUAUAUUAUGAUUCCACAUUUUUUGUAAAAAAGGUAUAAAAAUUAUUUAAAAAUACAAAUU